AAUAGAUACCCCGGUAGUCCACGCCGUAAACGAUGAGUGCUAAGUGUUAGAGGGUUUCCGCCCUUUAGUGCUGCAGCUAACGCAUUAAGCACUCCGCCUGGGGAGUACGGUCGCAAGACUGAAACUCAAAGGAAUUGACGGGGGCCCGCACAAGCGGUGGAGCAUGUGGUUUAAUUCGAAGCAACGCGAAGAACCUUACCAGGUCUUGACAUCCUCUGACAACUCUAGAGAUAGAGCGUUCCCCUUCGGGGGACAGAGUGACAGGUGGUGCAUGGUUGUCGUCAGCUCGUGUCGUGAGAUGUUGGGUUAAGUCCCGCAACGAGCGCAACCCUUGAUCUUAGUUGCCAGCAUUUAGUUGGGCACUCUAAGGUGACUGCCGGUGACAAACCGGNGGAAGGUGGGGAUGACGUCAAAUCAUCAUGCCCCUUAUGACCUGGGCUACACACGUGCUACAAUGGAUGGUACAAAGGGCUGCAAGACCGCGAGGUCAAGCCAAUCCCAUAAAACCAUUCUCAGUUCGGAUUGU
Molecule: ribosomal RNA, 526 nt
Filed under: uncultured bacterium
Lineage: Bacteria
Description: bacterial SSU rRNA
Rfam family: Bacterial small subunit ribosomal RNA
Source: RNAcentral